CCUGCAUGCAGACGACGCACGCGUGAAGGAAGAAGGUCUUCGGAUCGUAAACUUCUAUCAGCAGGGAAGAAGAUAGUGACUGUACCUGACUAAGAAGCCCCGGCUAACUACGUGCCAGCAGCCGCGGUAAUA
This 132-nucleotide ribosomal RNA is filed under the name uncultured Clostridiaceae bacterium. Its description in RNAcentral is "partial 16S ribosomal RNA". The stretch from base 23 to 132 matches the Rfam family "Bacterial small subunit ribosomal RNA", at positions 401 to 525 of the family's 1533-position model. The record is from RNAcentral. Lineage: Bacteria; Bacillati; Bacillota; Clostridia; Eubacteriales; Clostridiaceae.